UCUCCACCAUAACAAAAUGUUUCAACUAUAUCUCAGGAGUAGUCAAAGGAAGUACGGCGGGUCCGAGUAGGAAAAAAUUCACUAAGAAGUAGGGCAUACAACAAUGGAUCAAUUCAUUCAACAAGAUCCGUUCGGAUCGAACCAGGAUGAAUGGGAUUGGUCUGACCUCUCGCUCGGAUUCGUGAACAGCUAUGCCCGAGAAUGAAUGAAUUGUGAUAUAACGCCGAAUAAGCCACUGCUCUAUUCCCGACUCGAAAUCCAUAAAGGACUUUAAG
Molecule: transfer RNA, 275 nt
Filed under: Vitis vinifera (wine grape)
Lineage: Eukaryota; Viridiplantae; Streptophyta; Magnoliopsida; Vitales; Vitaceae
Description: partial transfer RNA-Met
Source: RNAcentral